AUAAACUGUAAACAGCAAAAAUGAUCAGCAAAGUAAGAUCUACAAAUAAGUUAAUAUGACCAAAAUUGUCAAUUGACCCCUUAAGGGGUAAUUGUCCUUUAAUGACAAUUUUUCACAAUUUGUUCAUCAUAUUUGCUAACUUUAAAAAAUCUUCUCCUCUAAAAUUACUCAACCAAAUUCAACCAAACUUCAACUGAAUGAUCAGUAGGGUGUAUAAAAUAAAGUUUGUGUUUUAUUUUCUAUUUCGUCAAAAAAUAUGGCUGUCAUGGCUAAAAAUAGAACACAGGGUAAAAUGCAGUUUUUGGCUUAUAUCUCAAAAACUCCAGCAUUUAGAGCAGAUAAGACAAGGAGUUAAAGUAUUUAUUAGGUCAAGGUCUACCUGUCCUGAAAUUUUCAGCCGAAUUGGGUAACUGGUUUUUCAGGUAUAAUGCCCC
This 434-nucleotide long non-coding RNA is filed under the name Mytilus galloprovincialis (Mediterranean mussel). The record is from RNAcentral. Lineage: Eukaryota; Metazoa; Mollusca; Bivalvia; Mytilida; Mytilidae.